UACGGAGGAUGCAAGCGUUAUCCGGAUUUAUUAGGUUUAAAGGGUGCGUAGGCGGAAAUGUAAGUCAGUGGUGAAAUCCUGCAGCUUAACUGUGGAAUAGCCGUUGAAACUGUGUUUCUUGAGUACAUUUGAGGUAGGCGGAAUGUGGUGUGUAGCGGUGAAAUGCAUAGAUAUACCACAGAACACCGAUUGCGAAGGCAGCUUACUAAACUGUCACUGACGCUGAUGCACGAAAGCGUGGGUAUCAAACAGGAUUA
Molecule: ribosomal RNA, 257 nt
Filed under: uncultured prokaryote
Description: partial 16S ribosomal RNA
Rfam family: Bacterial small subunit ribosomal RNA
Source: RNAcentral